RNAcentral lists this transfer RNA (73 nucleotides) under Rhinatrema nigrum (black caecilian). RNAcentral's name for it is "tRNA-Asn". It matches the Rfam family "tRNA". From Rfam's summary of the family: Transfer RNA (tRNA) molecules are approximately 80 nucleotides in length. The record is from RNAcentral. Lineage: Eukaryota; Metazoa; Chordata; Amphibia; Gymnophiona; Rhinatrematidae.
UAGGCUGAAGCUCGCUGGAAUGAGCGUUUAACUGUUAAUUAAAAGGUCGUGGGGUAGAAGCCCAUCAGUCUAG